UGCGUAGGCGGACUAAUAAGUCAGUGGUGAAAUCUCUCGGCUCAACCGGGAAACUGCCAUUGAUACUGUUAGUCUUGAGUUCGGUUGAGGUAGGCGGAAUGUGUAAUGUAGCGGUGAAAUGCUUAGAUAUUACACAGAACACCAAUUGCGUAGGCAGCUUACUAGACCGACACUGACGCUGAGGCACGAAAGCGUGGGUAGCGAACAGGGUUAGAUACCCUGGUAGUCC
RNAcentral lists this ribosomal RNA (229 nucleotides) under uncultured bacterium. RNAcentral's name for it is "partial 16S ribosomal RNA". It matches the Rfam family "Bacterial small subunit ribosomal RNA", at positions 568 to 796 of the family's 1533-position model. The record is from RNAcentral.